GUAGUCCACGCCCUAAACGAUGUCAACUAGUUGUUGGGGAUUUACUUCCUUGGUAACGUAGCUAACGCGUGAAGUUGACCGCCUGGGGAGUACGGCCGCAAGGUUAAAACUCAAAGGAAUUGACGGGGACCCGCACAAGCGGUGGAUGAUGUGGAUUAAUUCGAUGCAACGCGAAAAACCUUACCUACCCUUGACAUGGCAGGAACUUUCCAGAGAUGGAUUGGUGCUCGAAAGAGAACCUGCACACAGGUGCUGCAUGGCUGUCGUCAGCUCGUGUCGUGAGAUGUUGGGUUAAGUCCCGCAACGAGCGCAACCCUUGUCAUUAGUUGCUACGAAAGGGCACUCUAAUGAGACUGCCGGUGACAAACCGGAGGAAGGUGGGGAUGACGUCAAGUCCUCAUGGCCCUUAUGGGUAGGGCUUCACACGUCAUACAAUGGUCGGUACAGAGGGUUGCCAAGCCGCGAGGUGGAGCCAAUCCCAGAAAACCGAUCGUAGUCCGGAUCGCAGUCUGCAACUCGACUGCGUGAAGUCGGAAUCGCUAGUAAUCGCGGAUCAGAAUGCCGCGGUGAAUACGUUCCCGGGUCUUGUACACACCGCCCGUC
Molecule: ribosomal RNA, 603 nt
Filed under: uncultured bacterium
Lineage: Bacteria
Description: bacterial SSU rRNA
Rfam family: Bacterial small subunit ribosomal RNA
Source: RNAcentral